UACGGAAGGGGCAAGCGUUGUUCGGAAUCAUUGGGCGUAAAGGGCGCGUAGGUGGUUCUGUAUGUCUAUCGUGAAAGCAUACAGCUCAACUGUAUUUUGUCGGUAGAAACUGCAGGACUUGAGGCUGGGAGGGGCUGGUGGAAUUCCCUGUGUAGCGGUGAAAUGCGUAGAGAUGGGGGAGAACACCCGUGGCUAAGGCGGCUCUCUAGUACGGUACUGACGCUGAGACGCGAAAGCGUGGGGAGCGAACAGG
RNAcentral lists this ribosomal RNA (253 nucleotides) under uncultured bacterium. Its description in RNAcentral is "partial 16S ribosomal RNA". It matches the Rfam family "Bacterial small subunit ribosomal RNA", at positions 524 to 776 of the family's 1533-position model. The record is from RNAcentral.